AUUGAACGCUGGCGGCAUGCCUUACACAUGCAAGUCGAACGGUAACAGGUCUUCUGCUGCUGACGAGUGGCGAACGGGUGCGUAAUACAUCGGAACGUGCCCAGACGUGGGGGAUAACGAGGCGAAAGCUUUGCUAAUACCGCAUACGAUCUAAGGAUGAAAGCAGGGGACCGCAAGGCCUUGCGCGCUUGGAGCGGCCGAUGGCAGAUUAGGUAGUUGGUGGGAUAAAAGCUUACCAAGCCGACGAUCUGUAGCUGGUCUGAGAGGACGACCAGCCACACUGGGACUGAGACACGGCCCAGACUCCUACGGGAGGCAGCAGUGGGGAAUUUUGGACAAUGGGCGAAAGCCUGAUCCAGCAAUGCCGCGUGCAGGAUGAAGGCCUUCGGGUUGUAAACUGCUUUUGUACGGAACGAAAAGGCUUUGGCUAAUACCUGGGGCACAUGACGGUACCGUAAGAAUAAGCACCGGCUAACUACGUG
Molecule: ribosomal RNA, 482 nt
Filed under: uncultured bacterium
Lineage: Bacteria
Description: partial 16S ribosomal RNA
Rfam family: Bacterial small subunit ribosomal RNA
Source: RNAcentral